GUGAAUCAUCGAAUUUUUGAACGCAAAUUGCACUCUCUGGUAUUCCGGAGAGUAUGCCUGCUUGAGGGUCAGUUUAAAUAAAAAUCGGUGUGGUUUCGGCCUUUCGUGGUGACGCACCGGAUUUGGGUCAUCUUGCCUUCGGUUAAGUGACCUAAAAUUUUGCAUGCUUUUUUUCGAACGCAUUUAAAUGUUUUUACUUACGUUUUCGAUAUCGAUUUCUAUGUGUGGUCAUCCUC
This 236-nucleotide unclassified non-coding RNA is filed under the name Glomeromycotina sp. RNAcentral describes it as "partial contains 5.8S ribosomal RNA and internal transcribed spacer 2". The stretch from base 1 to 71 matches the Rfam family "5.8S ribosomal RNA", at positions 84 to 154 of the family's 154-position model. Lineage: Eukaryota; Fungi; Glomeromycota. The record is from RNAcentral.